Molecule: transfer RNA, 83 nt
Filed under: Schistocephalus solidus
Lineage: Eukaryota; Metazoa; Platyhelminthes; Cestoda; Diphyllobothriidea; Diphyllobothriidae
Rfam family: tRNA
About the family: Transfer RNA (tRNA) molecules are approximately 80 nucleotides in length. Their secondary structure includes four short double-helical elements and three loops (D, anti-codon, and T loops). Further hydrogen bonds mediate the characteristic L-shaped molecular structure. tRNAs have two regions of fundamental functional importance: the anti-codon, which is responsible for specific mRNA codon recognition, and the 3' end, to which the tRNAs corresponding amino acid is attached (by aminoacyl-tRNA synthetases). tRNAs cope with the degeneracy of the genetic code in two manners: having more than one tRNA (with a specific anti-codon) for a particular amino acid; and 'wobble' base-pairing, i.e. permitting non-standard base-pairing at the 3rd anti-codon position.
Source: Rfam by way of RNAcentral
UGCCUCGUAGCUCAGUUGCUUAGAGCGUUGGCAGUACUUGAGCCUUCCCCUUGUUGGCUUGGGUUCAAUUCCCACCGAGGCCA